This 21-nucleotide microRNA is filed under the name Vriesea carinata. RNAcentral's name for it is "vca-miR391-3p". Its record names the gene vca-miR391-3p. The record is from miRBase by way of RNAcentral. Lineage: Eukaryota; Viridiplantae; Streptophyta; Magnoliopsida; Poales; Bromeliaceae.
GCAUCGUCUCUCCGGCGACGG